This 217-nucleotide long non-coding RNA is filed under the name Neogobius melanostomus (round goby). RNAcentral's name for it is "lncRNA (ENSNMLG00000007139.1)". Lineage: Eukaryota; Metazoa; Chordata; Actinopteri; Gobiiformes; Gobiidae. The record is from RNAcentral.
AGGAGCCGCUGGAGGGAGAACUGUCUCAGAGCAGCACGGCUAAAGAGACGGGUGAAGUCGUGGAUUAUUCACUCAGGGGCCGUUUUGAGGGUCCCAGUCUGAGCAGUUUGGAAACCUCUGGUUCACAGCUCCUCAUCUCCAGCGGUGGGAACUCUUUAUUACAUUACUUUAUGUUUUCUCUGUCCAAUCCAUAUGAAACAUCCAUCAUAAAGUUUUC